AGAGUUUGAUCAUGGCUCAGGAUGAACGCUGGCGGCGUGCCUAACACAUGCAAGUCGAGCGAAGCACUUUACUUUGAUUCUUCGGAUGAAGAGUGAUUUGACUGAGCGGCGGACGGGUGAGUAACGCGUGGGUAACCUGCCCCAUACAGGGGGAUAACAGUUAGAAAUGACUGCUAAUACCGCAUAAGACCACAGCACCGCAUGGUGCAGGGGUAAAAACUCCGGUGGUAUGGGAUGGACCCGCGUCUGAUUAGCUAGUUGGUGAGGUAACGGCCCACCAAGGCAACGAUCAGUAGCCGACCUGAGAGGGUGACCGGCCACAUUGGGACUGAGACACGGCCCAAACUCCUACGGGAGGCAGCAGUGGGGAAUAUUGCACAAUGGGGGAAACCCUGAUGCAGCGACGCCGCGUGAGCGAAGAAGUAUUUCGGUAUGUAAACUUCUAUCAGCAGGGAAGAAAAUGACGGUACCUGACUAAGAAGCCCCGG
This 488-nucleotide ribosomal RNA is filed under the name uncultured bacterium. Its description in RNAcentral is "bacterial SSU rRNA". It matches the Rfam family "Bacterial small subunit ribosomal RNA", at positions 8 to 496 of the family's 1533-position model. The record is from RNAcentral.